CCUACGGGAGGCAGCAGUGAGGAAUAUUGGUCAAUGGACGAGAGUCUGAACCAGCCAAGUAGCGUGAAGGAUGACUGCCCUAUGGGUUGUAAACUUCUUUUAUAUGGGAAUAAAAUGUUCCACGUGUGGGAUUUUGUAUGUACCAUAUGAAUAAGGAUCGGCUAACUCCGUGCCAGCAGCCGCGGUAAUACGGAGGAUCCGAGCGUUAUCCGGAUUUAUUGGGUUUAAAGGGAGCGUAGGUGGAUUGUUAAGUCAGUUGUGAAAGUUUGCGGCUCAACCGUAAAAUUGCAGUUGAAACUGGCAGUCUUGAGUACAGGAGAGGUGGGCGGAAUUCGUGGUGUAGCGGUGAAAUGCUGAGAUAUCACGAAGAACUCCGAUUGCGAAGGCAGUUCACUGGACUGCAACUGACACUGAGGCUCGAAAGUGUGGGUAUCAAACAGGAUUAGAUACCCCAGUAGUC
RNAcentral lists this ribosomal RNA (460 nucleotides) under uncultured bacterium. RNAcentral's name for it is "partial 16S ribosomal RNA". It matches the Rfam family "Bacterial small subunit ribosomal RNA", at positions 338 to 795 of the family's 1533-position model. The record is from RNAcentral.